GUGAGGAAUAUUGGUCAAUGGGCGCAAGCCUGAACCAGCCAUGCCGCGUGCAGGAUGACGGUCCUAUGGAUUGUAAACUGCUUUUAUACAGGAAGAAACACCUCUACGUGUAGAGACUUGACGGUACUGUAAGAAUAAGGAUCGGCUAACUCCGUGCCAGCAGCCGCGGUAAUACGGAGGAUCCAAGCGUUAUCCGGAAUCAUUGGGUUUAAAGGGUCCGUAGGCGGUCUAAUAAGUCAGUGGUGAAAGCCUUCCGCUUAACGGGAGAACGGCCAUUGAUACUGUUAGACUUGAAUUAUUAGGAAGUAACUAGAAUAUGUAGUGUAGCGGUGAAAUGCUUAGAGAUUACAUGGAAUACCAAUUGCGAAGGCAGGUUACUACUAAUGGAUUGACGCUGAUGGACGAAAGCGUGGGUAGCGAACAGGAUUAGAAACCCGAGUAGUCC
Molecule: ribosomal RNA, 445 nt
Filed under: uncultured bacterium
Lineage: Bacteria
Description: bacterial SSU rRNA
Rfam family: Bacterial small subunit ribosomal RNA
Source: RNAcentral